RNAcentral lists this ribosomal RNA (615 nucleotides) under Heterorrhina micans. RNAcentral's name for it is "partial 16S ribosomal RNA". It matches the Rfam family "Bacterial large subunit ribosomal RNA", at positions 1844 to 2747 of the family's 2925-position model. The record is from RNAcentral. Lineage: Eukaryota; Metazoa; Arthropoda; Insecta; Coleoptera; Scarabaeidae.
UUUAAAGUCUAACCUGCCCAAUGAGGAGUUCAAUGGCCGCGGUAUUUUGACCGUGCAAAGGUAGCAUAAUCAUUAGUUUUUUAAUUGGAAGCUGGAAUGAAUGGUUGGACGAGAAAAUAGCUGUCUCAAUUUAAUUUACUAUAGAACUUUAUUUUUAAGUUAGAAAGCUUAAAUAAUUUUAAAAGACGAGAAGACCCUAUAGAGUUUUAUAUUUUUAUGUUUAUUUAUUAUUGGUAUCUUAAUAUUUAUAUGCUAGAAAAUAUUUUAUUGGGGUGAUAGAAAAAUUAGAGAAACUUUUUUUUAUAAAAAAACAUUAAUGUAUGAUUAUUUGAUCCGUUAAUUACGAUUAUAAGAUUAAAUUACCUUAGGGAUAACAGCGUAAUUUUUUUUGAGAGUUCAUAUCGAAAAAAGAGUUUGCGACCUCGAUGUUGGAUUAAAAUUAACUUUUGGUGUAGGAGCUAAAAAAGGGUUAGGUCUGUUCGACCUUUAAAAUUUUACAUGAUCUGAGUUUAAACCGGCGUGAGCCAGGUUGGUUUCUAUCUUUAAAUAGUUUUUAUAUUUUAGUACGAAAGGACCAGGUAUAGAUAAUAUUUAUUUAAUUUUUGAAUAUUAGUA